RNAcentral lists this ribosomal RNA (466 nucleotides) under Vreelandella stevensii. Its description in RNAcentral is "partial 16S ribosomal RNA". It matches the Rfam family "Bacterial small subunit ribosomal RNA", at positions 338 to 795 of the family's 1533-position model. The record is from RNAcentral. Lineage: Bacteria; Pseudomonadati; Pseudomonadota; Gammaproteobacteria; Oceanospirillales; Halomonadaceae.
CCUACGGGUGGCAGCAGUGGGGAAUAUUGGACAAUGGGCGAAAGCCUGAUCCAGCCAUGCCGCGUGUGUGAAGAAGGCCUUCGGGUUGUAAAGCACUUUCAGUGGGGAAGAAAGCCUUGGGGCUAAUACCCUCGAGGAAGGACAUCACCCACAGAAGAAGCACCGGCUAACUCCGUGCCAGCAGCCGCGGUAAUACGGAGGGUGCGAGCGUUAAUCGGAAUUACUGGGCGUAAAGCGCGCGUAGGCGGUCUGAUAAGCCGGUUGUGAAAGCCCCGGGCUCAACCUGGGAACGGCAUCCGGAACUGUCAGGCUAGAGUGCAGGAGAGGAAGGUAGAAUUCCCGGUGUAGCGGUGAAAUGCGUAGAGAUCGGGAGGAAUACCAGUGGCGAAGGCGGCCUUCUGGACUGACACUGACGCUGAGGUGCGAAAGCGUGGGUAGCAAACAGGAUUAGAUACCCUGGGUAGUC